GAAGCUGACGGAGCACGCCGCGUGAGGGAUGAAGGCCUUUGGGCUGUAAACCUCUUUUCUCAAGGAAGAAGACCUGACGGUACUUGAGGAAUAAGCCACGGCUAAUUCCGUGCCAGCAGCCGCGGUAAUACGGGAGUGGCAAGCGUUAUCCGGAAUUAUUGGGCGUAAAGCGUCCGCAGGCGGCCGUUUAAGUCUGUUGUUAAAUCGUGGAGCUCAACUCCAUCACGGCAAUGGAAACUGUUCGGCUUGAGUAUGGUAGGGGCAGAGGGAAUUUCCGGUGUAGCGGUGAAAUGCGUAGAUAUCGGGAAGAACACCAGUGGCGAAAGCGCUCUGCUGGACCAUUACUGACGCUCAUGGACGAAAGCCAGGGGAGCGAAAGGGAUUAGAUACCCCUGUAGUCCUGGCCGUAAACGAUGAACACUAGAUGUUGGGGGAAUCGACCCCCUCGGUGUCGUAGCUAACGCGUUAAGUGUUCCGCCUGGGGAGUACGCACGCAAGUGUGAAACUCAAAGGAAUUUU
Molecule: ribosomal RNA, 519 nt
Filed under: uncultured cyanobacterium
Lineage: Bacteria; Bacillati; Cyanobacteriota
Description: bacterial SSU rRNA
Rfam family: Bacterial small subunit ribosomal RNA
Source: RNAcentral